This is a long non-coding RNA of Podarcis raffonei (Aeolian wall lizard), 363 nucleotides long. RefSeq lists it as uncharacterized. NCBI's taxonomy places the organism in Eukaryota, Metazoa, Chordata, Lepidosauria, Squamata, Lacertidae. The record is from RefSeq and is a predicted model, not a curated record. The transcript has 3 exons.
AUCCCGCCAUCUCUUGCAACACCAUCCAAUCUUUCAGUCAUGAAGAUCUUUGCCUUCCUCGCAGCUGUUCUCUUCUUUGUGCUGAUGGCUGCUCCAGCACUUGCGCAGAAGUCAGAGGCAGAAUGUCACAGGAUGGGUGGCAGGUGCUAUAAUGGCUUUUGCCCAGGAAACUUAAUUCACAAGGGACAUUGUGGUAACCCGAAAAGAUGGUGCUGCAGAAGAUAGAUAACGUCAGGAUGUUGGCUGCAUUACAUCCAUAGCCUGAACAUUUUCAUGGCCUCUGCAACCCGCUUCGCUUCGCAUUUGCGCUUUUAAUGGAGCUGAUUCUCUGGUGAUUGUUUCCCUUCUUCUGCUAAUUAAAAA